GUUAUAAUACGAAAAUCGUGUUGACAAAUAUUAAGGCUCAACAAAUUGCCAUUUAUGUAAGAUACAGUCACAGAAAUAAUUAUAUUUAUAAGUACGUCUGAACCAGUGACAACUCUACAACAGAUUUAUCCAUCAGAUCACCAGCAGUGAUGGUGAUGCAUGGUUGUAUACAUUCUGUAUAUAGAACUCGUCUAAACAUCAAC
RNAcentral lists this long non-coding RNA (203 nucleotides) under Mytilus galloprovincialis (Mediterranean mussel). Lineage: Eukaryota; Metazoa; Mollusca; Bivalvia; Mytilida; Mytilidae. The record is from RNAcentral.